CUCGGAAUCAUUGGGCGUAAAGCGCACGUAGGCGGUUCGUUAAGUCGGAUGUGAAAGCCCUUGGCUUAACCGAGGAAGUGCAUCCGAAACUGGCGAGCUAGAGUACGAAAGAGGAUCGCGGAAUUCCCGGUGUAGAGGUGAAAUUCGUAGAUAUCGGGAGGAACACCGGUGGCGAAGGCGGCGAUCUGGGUCGAUACUGACGCUGAGGUGCGAAAGCGUGGGGAGCAAACAGG
RNAcentral lists this ribosomal RNA (233 nucleotides) under uncultured bacterium. Its description in RNAcentral is "partial 16S ribosomal RNA". It matches the Rfam family "Bacterial small subunit ribosomal RNA", at positions 544 to 776 of the family's 1533-position model. The record is from RNAcentral.